Molecule: long non-coding RNA, 1138 nt
Organism: Schistocerca serialis cubense
Lineage: Eukaryota; Metazoa; Arthropoda; Insecta; Orthoptera; Acrididae
Exons: 3
Source: RefSeq, a predicted model, not a curated record
AACCGCGCGGAGGUGGGAAGGGGCAGUUAUUGUCUGCGCUGCUGGCUGGCUACGGCGACUGACGCGCACGUGAGGGAUCGGAUGUGACGCUACGUGCCGCGCGAACUAGUGUUUUGACAGGCUCCUAAGUGCGAUAACAGAGUUCUGAAGGUGUGUCAGCCACAUCUUCCUGAGCUCACAUCCGGAGGAGCUGGACCAUGCGUCAGCGCUGAGAAUGACAUCGACGCCCGGCGCCGACAGCAACUCGUCGCCGCCGACGCCCCCCCAGCCCGGUGAGAGCUUCGCCGUCGCGACGCCGACGCCUUGGAGGCGGCGCCACCUGGAGCUCGCCGCCCGCCGCCGCCUCUGGCCGCAGAGACGCCACCCCCAGCCGCCCCCGAACCGCCGCCGCCGGCGCAGACGCCGCCCUCGGGACCAAAUGACUGCCUUGUGCUGCUAGACAACAGGCUGUGUGUGUGUAUUCUCUGCUUCGCCGAGCCGCUGACGACCUCUACUGCUCUUACGGCAUAAAGGGGAACUAGACGGUGCAGGAAGAGGCGACGUUAUUCCUGGACCUCAUUGUGAUUGCAAGCGGCGCAUAUAAGGAGCAGGAGAAGCGAGUUUUGUGAGCGUGACGUCGAGACGAGGACUUCAAAAGCAGGCCGCCGUCACACAGUUCCCCCUUUUUCUCCCGUUAACGAAGUGUCGCGAAGCGCGAGCCGUGUGUUGUGAAUCGUGUCGGUUGUGCACGCACAUACGUACGCUUGUGCAUGCCCGUCGUGUUAACUUUUCUAUUUUUUUUCUUACAUUUCCGAGAGUUUUGUUUAACUCACGUCCCAUUUCGAAAAUUGUCCAUUUCUUCGUGGUGUGUGCGGGUGUCGUACUGGUGAACGAGUGGUGAUUUUUUGACGCGCAUCACUGCGCUACAUUGCGGUGACAAAUCACGAGUGCAUCUUUUACGUAAUUUCAUUGUGCCAUCGCUUCACCUGCGAAAUGGAUCUCCAUCUAUCAGCGGUGUUCGUGGUCGCUGCUUCGUUAUUGGUUACAUUCCCUCGAGCAGCUUUAGGUGAGUCGUGCUGUCCUGAUACAAGUUGUAUUCAAACUUCGCUUAUCUGACUACAGCAGCGGUAAGUACUGCAGUGCAACAGAAUCUUCGAAU